This 503-nucleotide ribosomal RNA is filed under the name uncultured bacterium. RNAcentral's name for it is "partial 16S ribosomal RNA". It matches the Rfam family "Bacterial small subunit ribosomal RNA", at positions 30 to 523 of the family's 1533-position model. The record is from RNAcentral.
AUUGAACGCUGGCGGCAGGCUUAACACAUGCAAGUCGAGCGGAGUGAUGGUGCUUGCACUAUCACUUAGCGGCGGACGGGUGAGUAAUGCUUAGGAAUCUGCCUAUUAGUGGGGGACAACAUCUCGAAAGGGAUGCUAAUACCGCAUACGUCCUACGGGAGAAAGCAGGGGAUCACUGGUGACCUUGCGCUAAUAGAUGAGCCUAAGUCGGAUUAGCUAGUUGGUGGGGUAAAGGCCUACCAAGGCGACGAUCUGUAGCGGGUCUGAGAGGGUGAUCCGCCACACUGGGACUGAGGCACGGCCCAGACUCCUACGGGAGGCAGCAGUGGGGAAUAUUGGACAAUGGGGGGAACCCUGAUCCAGCCAUGCCGCGUGUGUGAAGAAGGCCUUAUGGUUGUAAAGCACUUUAAGCGAGGAGGAGGCUCUUUUGGUUAAUACCCAAGAUGAGUGGACGUUACUCGCAGAAUAAGCACCGGCUAACUCUGUGCCAGCCGCCGCCGUAA